Molecule: non-coding RNA, 69 nt
Organism: Podarcis lilfordi (Lilford's wall lizard)
Lineage: Eukaryota; Metazoa; Chordata; Lepidosauria; Squamata; Lacertidae
Source: the annotation of a GenBank genome assembly
GGCAUAGCUCAGUGGUACAGCAUCUGCCCUGCAUGCAGAAAGCCCGAGAUUUGAUCCCUGGCAUUUCCA